RNAcentral lists this transfer RNA (70 nucleotides) under Microcebus danfossi. RNAcentral's name for it is "tRNA-Thr". The record is from RNAcentral. Lineage: Eukaryota; Metazoa; Chordata; Mammalia; Primates; Cheirogaleidae.
GGCCCUUGUAGUAUAUCUAAUACUUUGGUCUUGUAAACCAAUAAUGGAGACCCCACUCUCCCUAGGGCAA